Molecule: ribosomal RNA, 253 nt
Filed under: uncultured bacterium
Lineage: Bacteria
Description: partial 16S ribosomal RNA
Rfam family: Bacterial small subunit ribosomal RNA
Source: RNAcentral
UACGGGGGGGGCAAGCGUUGUUCGGAAUUACUGGGCGUAAAGAGCUCGUAGGCGGCUUGUCACGUCGGAUGUGAAAUCCCUCGGCUCAACUGAGGAACUGCACGGGAAACUGCUUGGCUUGAGUUCGGGAGAGGGAAGCGGAAUUCCGGGUGUAGCGGUGAAAUGCGUAGAUAUCCGGAGGAACACCGGUGGCGAAGGCGGCUUCCUGGACCGACACUGACGCUGAGGCGCGAAAGCUAGGGGAGCAAACGGG